GAUGAACGCUGACAGAAUGCUUAACACAUGCAAGUCAACUUGAACUUCGGUUUGGGUGGCGGACGGGUGAGUCACGCGUAAAGAACUUGCCUCACAGUUAGGGACAACAUUUGGAAACGAAUGCUAAUACCUGAUAUUAUGAUUUUAGGGCAUCCUAGAAUUAUGAAAGCUAUAUGCGCUGUGAGAGAGCUUUGCGUCCCAUUAGCUAGUUGGAGAGGUAACGGCUCACCAAGGCGAUGAUGGGUAGCCGGCCUGAGAGGGUGAACGGCCACAAGGGGGCUGAGACACGGCCCUUACUCCUACGGGAGGCAGCAGUGGGGAAUAUUGGACAAUGGACCAAGAGUCUGAUCCAGCAAUUCUGUGUGCACGAUGAAGUUUUUCGGAAUGUAAAGUGCUUUCAGUUGGGAAGAAAAAAAUGACGAUACCAACAGAAGAAGUGACGGCUAAAUACGUG
Molecule: ribosomal RNA, 454 nt
Filed under: uncultured bacterium
Lineage: Bacteria
Description: partial 16S ribosomal RNA
Rfam family: Bacterial small subunit ribosomal RNA
Source: RNAcentral